GAAAUGCGAUAAGUAAUGUGAAUUGCAGAAUUCAGUGAAUCAUCGAAUCUUUGAACGCACCUUGCGCUCCUUGGUAUUCCUUGGAGCAUGCCUGUUUGAGUAUCAUGAAAUCUUCAAAGUAAAUCUUUUGUUAACUCAUUUGGUUUCUACUUUGGUAUUGGAGGUCUUUGCAGCUUCACACCUGCUCCUCUUUGUUCAUUAGCUGGAUCUCAGUGUUAUGCUUGGUUCCACUCGGCGUGAUAAGUUAUCUAUCGCUGAGGACACUGUAAAAGGUGGCCAAGGUAAAUGCAGAUGAACCGCUUCUAAUAGUCCAUUGACUUGGACAAUACUUUUAUGAUCUGAUCUCAAAUCAGGUAGGACUACCCGCUGAACUUAAGC
RNAcentral lists this unclassified non-coding RNA (378 nucleotides) under plant metagenome. RNAcentral's name for it is "partial contains 5.8S ribosomal RNA, internal transcribed spacer 2, and large subunit ribosomal RNA". The stretch from base 1 to 105 matches the Rfam family "5.8S ribosomal RNA", at positions 50 to 154 of the family's 154-position model. The record is from RNAcentral.